RNAcentral lists this ribosomal RNA (497 nucleotides) under uncultured bacterium. Its description in RNAcentral is "partial 16S ribosomal RNA". It matches the Rfam family "Bacterial small subunit ribosomal RNA", at positions 28 to 507 of the family's 1533-position model. The record is from RNAcentral.
GAUGAACGCUGGCGGCGUGCCUAACACAUGCAAGUCGAGCGGACGGACCAGGAGCUUGCUUCUCUGUUGUUAGCCGCGGAGGGGUGUGUCACAUGUGGAUAACCUCCCUAUCUGACUGGGAUAAUCUCGGGAAACCGGCGCUUACAGCGGAUAAUCUUUUGCUCCGUAUGGUUCAUUAGUGAGUGACGGCCUUGCUGUCACUUAUCGAUGGAUCCGGGCUGGUUUAGCUGGUUGGUACGGUACCGGCCUACCACGGCAACGAUGCGUAGCCGACGGGAGAGAGGGAUCGGCCACACUGGAGCGGAGACGCGGACCAGACUCCUACGAGAGGCAGCAGUAGGGAAUGUGACGCAAUGGUGGAGAGCCUGACGGAGCAACGCGGCGUGAGUGAUGGAGGUCUUCGGUGCGUGAUACUCUGUUAUGAGGGGAGAACAGAUGUGUAAUUAGCUGUGCACAGCUUGACGGUACCUAAUCAGAAAGCCCCGGCUAACUACGUG